RNAcentral lists this long non-coding RNA (24965 nucleotides) under Lathyrus oleraceus (garden pea). RNAcentral's name for it is "Pisum sativum (pea) long non-coding RNA (PSAT_LNC021971)". The record is from RNAcentral. Lineage: Eukaryota; Viridiplantae; Streptophyta; Magnoliopsida; Fabales; Fabaceae.
UCUACUCAACUUCAAUAGUACCACUAUUAACUAUCUUCAACUGAGAGAAAAGUUCAGAAAUAAUUCUUCCAUAUGGUAUGAGAAAAGUCAUUUCCUCCAUAAAGAUGAUUACCAUUUUCUUUAAGAAGUUAAAAAUGGUAAAAUGAAGAUUAACUCUGAUGCUCUUGGUAAGGAAUAACAAGAGAUGUUUGUCAUCACAAGUAAGCGUUUCUAGUUGUUUCAUUCAUAGACGAAGAUUUGACACUAGAAGUUGAUAUAAAACUUUUUUAAUUGAUAGUAGAAUAACAUGAAUGUUGUUGUAUUUAGAAGCUUGAAAAAAAGUUCUCUAUGAUGAAUUACAAGUGUGGAAAACAUUUUUUCAAUAGUAGAAUAAAUAAUUCCUUUAGAAGUUGGAUGCAUUUAAUGAUUGGAACAGAUAUCUCCUAUAAAUUGGAUGCAUGCAAUAUUUUGAACACAUAAUUUCUUACACCAAAAAUCUUUUUUUGUUGUAUUAUUAUUUUUCAAUAUUCUUUGUAAACAAUAUAAUUUUUUUAUAAAAAAUCAUGUUCACCUUGAUUUUUAACAAAACCGAGGGAAUAAUUUAGCGUGCUAAUUUUAGAUAUUGAUCACCGUUCUUAAAUAAAUCUUUGUUAUCCAUUUCAUAAUUAUCAACAUUCAAGACACUAUCAUUAGUGGUCCGCGUGAAACCUAAAAAAUUCUCAUUAUAAAAGUCUUAUGAUAUCUAUAAUUGAUAAAGAAACGUCAUGAAGCGCUUGAAACUAUCUACAUCCUCCACUUUAACUUUUGUCGUUAACAAUUCUUUAUGAUGGAUUGCAAGUGCAGAAAAUUAUUUAGGUUCAAGGUUUGUGUUUUUAAAUAUUCAUUUGAGUAGAAAAUCAUUUAUUUUUAUAUUUUCUUUUGUUUUAUAUCAGAAACAAAUAAAAGCAAGGUGAAACAUUUGAUCUUGCCCAAAUAUUAAGGAAUCGAAGAUUCAAUAUAUGAUCUUCAAGGAUAAAUUAAUUUUUAUUUUAAUAUUCUGUGUAAACAAUAUAAUAUUCUGGGUAUUGUAGUUUGUAAACAAAUUUUAUUUAUUUAUUUUAUGGGUAAACAAUGUAACAAAAUUCAAUUAAAAAAACAAUUUAUCUUACCCAUCGGUUUAAUUAUAAACUGAAAUGCAUGAGACAUUAGUUUUGUAAAUAAUAAAAAUACAGAAGUUGGGGUUCAAACUCAUGUGCAAAUUAAUUUAUCCCUCGGUGUUUAGAAAACCGAGGUGAUAAACCGUUACUUUUUAUGACGCCCUUCGUUAACUCGGUAUUACAGCCGAGGUAAAAUAUAUUUCACGUCCGACGUUAAAAACACUUUUUAUAUUAGUGAGUGAAAAUAUUAUACAAUUUAUUUAGUCAAGAUGAUUUUGGCACAAAUUACUCAUUUCACAGUUCUUCGUAAUCUUUAUUAAAAAAAUUCAAAAAUAUAAACGAUUAAACAUAAAAGCACUUAAAAAUAAAGAAAAAAUUAUUAAAAAAGAUGUAAUGAUUAUGUGUCAUCAUAACUCUUAAUCAACCAUAAGUCAAUAUCCAUGAAGUGUCGAGCAAGAACUUAACAUAUUUGGUUUGAACAACCAAAUGUGAUUUGUACCAUUACUAAAAUAAGUAAAAUUAACUAAAACUUUCAAGAAAAUGAAACUUUCUAAAUUUACCAAAUUUUAUAAUGAAAAUGAUGAAUUCUUUCUUAAGCACAUUUUUAAAUACACUAAAGAAUUAUGUAAAUUUCUUAAUGAGAAAUGAUUAUAGACAGGGUUCUUUCCCAUGUAUUUUAACAUAACUAAUACUUAUAGUUUUAACAUAACUAAAGCAAAUGAUUUUUUGAACAUUUUUUUAAAAGAUAAACAAUUGAAAUUAUUUAAAGAUCACACAUUAGUAAUGUCAAUAGACCCAAAAGAGCAUAAACAUUAUAAAUUUUAAAACAAGUUUGACUAUUUUACCAAUCAUUGUGAAUGUUUCAUAAACUUAAUCCAAAAGGCUAUCGUGGAUUGAUAAAUUGUGGAUUAAUCAACGAAUUCAAAAUACCUUCAAGGUACAAAUUCAACGUAAGAUUGAUAGGUGAUAUAUGAGAACUAAUGCUUAUCAAGGGAGGUUACUCUUUUAGAAUGGAUAUUAUACAUGUGGUAGAUCAAAACAAAUGAAUUUAAUUAACUCAACAAAGCUACCACAAUUAUCUAAAAGGAAAAAAAUUAGAAGAAAAUUCAUACUUAAUAAGAAAUAAUGAUGGAUGUAAAAAUCGGUAUUAAUUUUUACUUUAUCUUGUAACUUAUGUUUCAUAAGUCUCAAUACCAUUUAUUCUUUACAUAUAUGAAGGUCUAAAGAAUUUGAGAGUGCGUCAUUGACUAGUUAAGAAAGAAAAUAGUUUUUCUUUUUAAAUAAGCAAACUUUGAUUAAUUAAAAAAAACUAACAAAAAAAACAAGGCGAUUGCUCGGAUCCAACCCUCAACGAAACUAAUAACAAAAAACAAAGCUAAUAUAUCAUCAAAUUAGCAAUGUGUUUUCUAAUUUUCUCAUCAUACCAACCUCUAUACACAAUCAUGUCUAUAAUAUUUCCCGCUAUUUUGGUAUUAUCCAUAUUGUUUCCAAAUACCUUGUCAUCCAUAUACUUCCAAAUGUCAUAUAUAGCUUUAGUAGCAACCAACUUUAACAUAGCAACCCACCCCCAUUUUCCUUUACUAUGCUUCAAAAUCUAAUGCAUUUCUUCAUUCCAUUCCUCGUGCUCGUGAAUGAUUUGGAUCCAAUAAAGAAUCUUGCACCAAAAAUUCUUUUCAAUUCAACACACCCAAAAGACAGAUGAUUCACAGUCUCCUCCUUGUCACAAAAAUAGCACCGGGUGUUGUCCACCAUUCCAAACUUGUGAAGUUUUUCCCUGGUGACUAGUUUCCCAUGGAAAGCAGGCCACAAAUUCAUCAUAACUCUAGGUCGAGUAACAUUGUUGCAUAACAAAGUCCUCCGAACUAGUUUCCCAUGGAAAGCAGGCCACAAAUUCAUCAUAACUCUAGGUCGAGUAACAUUGUUGCAUAACAAAGUCCUCCGAGCCAUAUCUUGUUCAUCAUCUCUCAAUUUUGCAUACAUGGUCUUCAUGUGAAAUUUACUCUUAUUAAGCAUUUGAUCCCACAAAUUCUACACCUAUGUAAUGUUCUCCCUUUGGUGCAGGAUUACCUUCAUUAUCCAAGUGUUGUUAGGUCUAAUAUUCACCUUCAUCAUGCUAUUGUUUUUGAAAUAAUAUGUAUACACCUAUUUAACCCAUAAGUUGUCCGACUUACCACUAAGAUUCCAAAGCAACUUCAUCAUAACAAUUUUGUUAUAGGUUUCCUACUCAAUAACGUUUAGACCUCCUUGUUUCCUAGGCUUGCAAAUGUUCUUACAAGCAAUUGGGCUCUUUAUACCGAUAUCAUCUCCACCUGUCCACAAGAAGGACCUACAAACAACAUCAGUUCUCUUUAUCAAACUCUUGGGCAGAGGGAAACAUUGCAUCCAAUAGUUAGUAAUGACAAAAGAGAUAUUAUUGAUUAUCUAAACUUUUCUUACAUAACUCAAAAGCUUAGUGCUCUAGUGUUGAACCCUACAAACAAUCUUAUCCACAAGAAUCAUGUAGUGAUGUAUGGAAAGCUUCUUACAAGCCAGGGGGACGCCUAAAUACUUAAAUGGAAGAGGCCCUUCCAUAUAAGAAGUUAAUCGGAUAUUGCUCUCCUCAGUGUUAUCAUUAACUCCACCAAAAUAGAUUAUGCACUUGCUAGGAUUAACCUUCAAACCUGUAGACCAAGAUAAGCUCUUAAAAGCAUUCAAUAACAACUCAAUAAAUCAUUGAUUACCUCUUGAGAAAAGCAUCAGAUCAUUUGCAAAAGUCAGAUUUGUGAUAUGCAACUUUUCACACUUUGCAUAGUGGUUAAAGUCAUGGAUUUUUUGCAUCUUGUGAAGGCCUAUAUUCAAAUACUCCAUAUUAAUGACAAAAAAGUAAAGGGGAUAUGGGGUCCUCUUUUCUAACUCCUCUCCUAGCUUGCAUAUUUUUUAUGUACUCGUCAUUAAUGUUAAAUUUGUAUGAGACAGUGGUCACAGUAAGCAUUAUCUACCUCAUGAAUUGAUGGAUCAUACCAAUCUCUUGCACAAUGCACUCUAAAGCUCUAAAGUCAACCAUGCCAUAAGCCUUUUGUAAGUUAAGUUGGAGUAUACAUAUGGGGAUCCUCCUUCCUAGCAUAACCUUUAAUUAUCUCAUAUGCUAGGAGAAUUUGGUUUUGGAUCUGCUUCCCAGGAACAAAAGUAGCCUAACAUUGCCUAAUAAUGCUCCUAAGAACCAUGCCUAAUUGAGCUGUCAAAACCUUUGAUAUAAUCUUGUAGGUUAUGGUACAAACAUAUAUUUGUCUAUGGUCUUUAAUGUAUUUGGAAUCAUCACUCUUUGGGAUAAGAGUCACCACAAUGCAAUUGAAUGCCUUGUACAAUCUUUCUUUCCCAAAAAACUCCAUGAUAGUUGUUAUCACAUCAUCUUUUAUAGUGUUCCAAUUGGCUUUAAGAAAUCUGGAAUCAAAGCCAUCUAAACCAAAAGACUUAUGAUCAUUAAUAUCUAUCAAGGCCUUACAAAUUUCUAGUUUAGUGACAGGUCUAACAAGAUACUCCCUCUGCUCCAUAUUAAGUUGGGCUUCAUCUCUCAUGGCUUCUAUAUCAAUAUACUGUAAGUUGUUAACCCUCUUCCCCAUUAGCUUCCCAUAGUAAUCUAACACUUCAUUCUCAAUCUCUUCUUGAGUUGUCAUAUUGGUACCAUCUUCCAUAUAGAGAACCCUCAAACUCUUAGCAUUUUGAUUUGAUUUAAUUGAAGCAUGAAAGUAAGAAUUAUUUCCAUCCCUCAAUCUUAACCAAUCAAUCUUGGCCUUGUGUUUUAACAUAUCUUCUUCUAGCUCAUUCCAUCUUAUAACAUUCUCAGUACAUUUCUUUACUUCCUCAAUCCCAUGGUUAUUCAUUAUGACCAUAAUGAGAUCAAACCAAGCCUUCUCAGGGUCAAUUCUAGCUUUGGCAAUAUUCUGCUGCACAUGAGCAAGAGGUCUGAUAGCUUCUUUAAAAUAGGUUUAAGUAUUUUCAACUUACUCCAUAACACAUACAUAGGCAUGCCAACCAAGGGCUCCCUCUAACUUCUAGAAACAACUUCGUCAUACCUUUCCAAAUUAGCCACACAAUUGAAAAACUUAAAUUUAGUUUUCUUGAUUCUAUCAUGCUCCUGGUAUAUUAAGAAAAAAAGUAUGAUCAAAUACACUUGGAGGUAAGAUUUGUAGGGAUGUGUACAAAUGAGCUUGAAACCAGUCCACAUUCCCUAGGACCUUAUCAAAACUAGAGUAAAUAUUUCCCUAAAUGUGCUUAUUUGACCAAGUAUAGUAAUCUCAUAUACUAUCCAUCUCAAACAAACAAGUCAUUUCCAUCAUUUUGUGUAUAUCAUUAUAUUAAGCUUUUGUCACCAAAUUACCCCUAACUUUGUCCUGAGCCUUGAUCACAUUAUUAAAAUCUCCAAUUAAACACCAAGGUCCCUAUUUCUUCCCACAUAAACCCUCAAUGUCUCUCCACAUAAUUCUUCUUUGAUCUAACUUGUUAAUAGCAUAUAUCGCAGUUAGCCAAAAUUUGAAGUCACCAUUCUUGUCACAAACUCCAUAAUGAACCAUAUGACUAGUACUUUUCAUAUGCUUAACAUCAAUCUUAUUAUUAUUCCAUUCCACCAAAACUCUACCAUUAUCAUGGUGUUUAUAAUUGGCUAGGUAUAAUCCCUUAAGGUUUAGUUUAUUUCUAAUAUUCUUAGCUUUGUCAAACUUCACCCUAGUUUCAAGAAGAAUAUUAAUAUCAGGCCUAAGCUAUAGGAGACGGGAGCCAAUCUCCCUGAGCUAACCUAUUUUAUUUAUCCCCCACAUGUUCCAAGCAACAAUCAUGGACCAAUAUCUUGAGCCACUAGAGUAUCAUUCAAAAUCCAUAGGGAAGUAAAUUCGUUCUCACAUUGGACUAUAAUAGAUGAACCUUCAUAUAAUAUCCCUUUGCCUCGAUCUCUUCCACUUUUAUUAACCCUUAUCCAUUCUUGUUGCUUCUCUUCAGUAUGUAUACUAGCCUCCUUUGAACCUCCCUCAUCGGAUACAAGGUUUUUUUUUCUUCUGGUGGUUUAUGUAUAGGCCUCCAUUGCAUCUCUCUAGACUUUGUCAUACCACAUUGGUGUCCCAUCUUUUGACAUUUCCUGCAGAAUAACGACUUCCAUUUGUAUUCCACUACCUAUUUCAUCUUCUUCCCUUCGUUGUCCUUGAUGGUGAUAUCUUGCGAUAAUUCUUGGGUGAUAUCAACUUCAACCAACAUUCUUGCAUAAAAGACUUUUAGUUUAUUUGUCGUGCAUUCAUCUGUUACGAAGGGAUUCCUUAUGGCACUUCCAAUCUUAGUUAAGCUCUUGACCCCCAAAAGUAUAACGGGAGUUAAAGGAGUUUUAUCCAUAAGGGUAGGGUUCUCAACAUGUCUUUUUUCAAGUUGAAGUUUGACCUCAAUUCUCGCAGCAACAUAGGCAUGUUCCUGAUGGUGUAUGAGUCAUUCAUCAUCAUUGUAUCCUUGUCCUUGUACGAUUUGAAUUUGAGCAGAAAAUACCCUUCAUCAUAGUAGAACAUGUCUGGAAAUUAGGCAACGUUCCAUGUCUUAAUCAUGUAUUACUUCACUGUAUUCAUACUCAAAUCACCUCAAAGAACAUACAUUAUCAAGGUUGUGUCCCAUAAUGUUACCUCCGCUUCAAUGUCUUCUUCCUUGAUCUCACCAUUCACAACCUUUGGAGCUACGGAUUCCAUUAUCUUGCCUUUUGUCGAAUUCCAAUUAUCAUUAAGAACAUCCACCCAUAACUUCCUUAUCUCCUUUGGUACUUAUAUAAUUAGGGUUCUCGUUUCUUUAUCUUCCUCAGUCUCCUUGCUUCCACUAUUUUCACUUGAACUAACAUUGUUUUUGUGUUUGUUGAUUCCUCCGUCUCAUCUUGGUCUUGCAUUUCCGUUUGUGUUACUCGAUUUCCACAAUUUUCCGACGACUAUGGCACUAUUCUUUUCGGCCGCCCUUGUCCCUUUGUUAUCGCUCGUUCUGAAAGAAAAUAGUUGAACAUGUAAUAUGUGUUAAACACUUAAUAUAAAUUUGAGAAUUAAAUUUAAAACAACUUAAAGAUAAAAAGACAAGAUAUAUUAUUUAGUUGGCGAUAAAAUGAAGCAUUUAAAAAUAUUAAAAUGAUACUAUUCUUAAGAGCAUGUUUGAUUAAAAAUAAAUAAAAAAGAUAUAAUUUAAUGAUUAUCUGUUAUGACUCAAGUGAGUCUCUAAAAUUAAAAUCACAUAAAUUUUGUUGUAUGGAAAAAGGAGAUAAAUUUAUUUUAAAUAUAAAGUCAAUUAUUAAAAGAGGACCAUAAAGAAUAAAAUAAAAAAAAUUGGGAAAAAAACAAUGUUAGCUUUCCUCCAAAAUAAGGCCAUAUUUCUAUUAUUUGGCCUUAAAUAUUUUUUUAUUCAAUAAUAUCUGAAGUAUCACUAUUGUAAUAAAAAUUUAAUUUUAUAUUUUGUCUCCAUUAAAAUAUGUCACAUCAUUUAUCAAACAAAACAUUUUUACAAAAAUAAUAUCCUUUUCCUCCCUUCCUUUUCUUUUCACUAGAUUAAAAUCCUUUUCAUGGCUAGAAGAAAAUUAAAUAGAGUAAAUGUGAAUGAUUAUUUUAAACUUGAGUCGUGUGAUUCAAUUAUUUAAAGGGUAGAACGUAAAGAAAAUAAUCAAAUUUAUUUCAUAUUUUAAUAAAUAUCAUUUUAUUUCAUUUGAUCUUAAAUACGAUAAUUGUGUGAAAUAUAAUUAUACAUUUUUUCCAUUGAAAUCUCUCUUCCUCUUCCAUCAAUUUCAUUAUCUCAAUUAAAAUCUCUCUUCACCAAUUUACUAUUAUGAACAAAAUAAACUAUAAAACAAUAGAUAAAUUCAAAAUGAUAUUAUAAUAUAAGGUCAUAAGAAAAAUAGUAGGUAGUUUUUAAUAUAUUUGUUUUGUAUUACUAUUGUAAUCAUAAACGAGAGGAUUUUGUAGUAAUCUUUUGUAUUGAGUUAGAUUAUUCCUACUCUUCUUUGAUAUCAUUUACUUAUAAAGAAAUUGAACAAAAUAUUAUUUGAAUUUGAACUAAAAGUAAUAUAUAUAUAUAUAUAUAUNAUAAAUAAAUAUUUAAAACUCUAUUUAAUAAAUAAAUAUAUCACCACAAUUUUAAAAAAACUUAUUUGUUAUUUUGUUAUUUUCCCUUCAACUCACUCAAUCAAAAUAUUAAAAAGAGUAUUUAAUUAAAACAUUGAAAAAACUAAAGAUAAAAAAAAUGAUAUUUGAAAAUAAUAUAAAACAUUGAAAUGGUUCGCAAGUUCUAUUUCAAUUUAUAGAAACUGAUAUUAUUAAGUUAGAUAUCAGAGUUUAAAUUUAAUGUUUAUAAUUGUAUAAGAGUUUCUAAUAAUUAUUACUUCUUCAUUUAUGAAAAAAUAUCGAAAUGAAAUUAUUUUUAAAAGUAUAUUUGGUUUGAAGAAAAUAAAACAAAAAAGAAAAAUAUAUUUUGUAAUUUUAAUUUUAGAUGUUUAAUUUAAAAGAAAAUAGAAUAUGUAACUUAAAUUAUUGACCAUCGUGUAUUAUGCAAAAUGGGACGGAAAUUUUCAAAUAAAUGAUAUUACAUAGUUAAAUGAUGAAUUCUUAUAAAAUCUUAGUUUUGUUUAUUAAUGAUAACUUAGAUUAAACUCUCUCAAUUUGAAGAUACUAGAUUUUAUGUAUCUUAUUUUUUCUUAAUAAUAUCUUAACCAUAAAUUUAUGUUUCCCAAACUUGUAAUUAACUUUUGUAAUCUUUCAUCAUGACUUGGAGUAUUCUUACCUUAUAAAGAGAUCAUAUAAAAUAUAAAAGAAAAUUGAGAUUUUCUUUAAAUAAUCAAUUUUUUCAAAUUAAAUAUUAAAAUUAAUUAUCAAACUAACCACUUUCUAAAUAAAAAAAAUUACACGACAAGAGCAAUAGUCCGGACAAAUGGCACAUGCGUUGUCCUUUUGCACUAAGGCGCCAAUGGUGGUGGCGAAAACAUUUACUACAUGUCACUGCAAGUGACGCAUGCAUACAUCCAAUAGAAGCAUGCGCAACAUGCAAGAGCUACUCCUCUAUUUGCAACUUCUAUUUAUACAACAUCCUUUCUCCAUCAUUUUCACACAUCUUAUUACUAUCCCAUUCCAUUUUUUUUCAAAAUCUCUGCAUAUAUGUGUCCUUAUAUUCACAAGAGAAAUGCCGAUUUAAUUUAUUCGGUAGUAAAACCUCUAAUGAAGAUCCGACUCUGAAAUACAGAGACGUUCAAACAUCUUAACUGAGCUUUAUUUGUUGGUUACAUAGAGACGUCGCAGAGGGUGAAAAUAUUAGAAGAAUUAAAAGGUUUGUUACCACGUUCAAUCAAAAUUGAGAAGUUCGUUUCUGGGACAAUGUUAAAACUGCCAGAGAUGUCCACAUGAUGAUGUAUAAUUCUCAGGAAAUUAUCCUGAUGGUUGUAAUCACAUAGUAAUGUUGUUAAGUCGUUGUACUUGUUUGUUUUGUUGUUUAAAUUAUUGUUUAGUUGUUGUUUUUAAAUUAUUGUAACCAAAUGUUAUGAUAUUUAUGAAAUGAAAGUUGUUUUUAAUAUAAAGCAAAAUGGUUACGUUUAAAAUUAUGUUUUUGUGUUUGGUCCAACAUUGGGACAGUUUGUACGAUUGCAUCCGGGUUGGUGACAUGAACUACAUAAUCUCACCAUUUUGUUCGCCGUAUCCAUUUUGGUUCGAAUAUGCAUGCUAUUAGGGCGGUCCUUUUUCUUUCUUCGCAUUUUUUCAUUGUGUCAGACUAUCUCCCUUUGAUAUGCAUGCCAAUAAUCCUCUUUUUCUAUCACCAACAAGUUAUUGUUGUAAAUAUUGCAUAGGUUUAUGACUUUGUAAACGACAGAUAGUAAGUUGGAAGGGUCAUGUCAAACCUUUGAACAUGUCACUAUGACAUGGGAGCAAGGCAUACAAAAGACUUGGAACUUUCUGCAGUUGCACCAACCUUUAUCUAGUUCCAUUCAACAGUAUCCCCUCAGUCUACCUUCAUUAUGAUCCAUUGACUCAACAACAAUGAAUCAACCCUUUAGUACAUUCAAACACUUUGACCACGUGUGUGUUAGCUUUGUUGGCUUCCUCCUUAAUGAAUUUCAUUGAACCAUCAUUCAACAGCUGCCCCGAUUGUGACACUGAACUCCAUUUAGAAUGUCUGAUCUUAAACAGUGUCCCUAACCUAAAAUAGGUUGCUCUAACUACAGAGAUUAUUGGUAGGUUUCAUAUGCCUUUGAAGACAAGGUUCAUUGAUUCCACGAGAUUUAUUGUCAUGUGGCUCCAUCGUUGACCAUUGUCAUAUGCUCUAUUCCACUUCUCCAAUGGAAUAUUGUCGAUCCACCUUACUGCAUAUGCAUUUGUCAAUCUGAUGUCUUCACGCUAGUGUUUGAAGGAAGGUUCUAUUAAUGCAUACCAUGCGUUCACAACCUUCUUCUGCAACUUCUUGUCUUUGAUCUCCCGCAUAAAAUUUUGAGCGAUGUGUCUAAUGCGGUAGACAUGCAUUGAAGGAGGAUCCUGCCAGCUGUUAUCAAGGUUUUUAUAGGCACUCUCAAUUAAUGGAUGUCUGUCUAAAAUCAAACAUAAGUUAGACUGAGGAGCAACAUGUAAUCAAAUAUUUUUUAAGAAAAAAACUCCAUCCACCAGCAGUGUCCCCUUCAACCAGAGCAAAAGAUAUUGUAAAAAUGUUGUUGUUGCCAUCUUGUGCCAUACAUAAUGGCACAUGCUUUAAAAGUACAACAUAUGCACCAUACCCAAUGGCAAAUACUUUGGAUAUCACAUGCAAAAAAGAAUCAUGUGAAUGUGUCAUUCACAUCUAUAAAUAUUGAUGUGUUUCUCAGCAUUUCCAUCAAACACACUCAAUCCAUCUACCUUGUAUGCAACAUACACUCAAUAUACCCACUUUGUCAGCAACAAAUACUCAAAAGCAUUCAAUAAAAAUGUCUCUACUAACCAUGGGUGAUGAACAUCGAGGAACUAUCGACAAUAUUACAGAGUUUGUAAGUUACUAUUUCUUAAUACUAUAGCUUAUUUAAUUUUCUUAAUAAUAUAGUUUAUUACUUUUUCUUACAUAUUUCCUUAAUAAUCUUUUGUUAGGAACCAAAGAAGUUUUGAUGCUGUGUACAUGAAUAUCUACCAUACAAUCCAUUGAUAGAACCAUACUUACGAGUAAGCGGUUUUGGUAAUGUACUUAAUAUAGUCUCAUACUCUAUUGAUUACAAAUUUAUUCUUGCUUUAGUAGAAAGAUGAAGACUCGAGACCCACACAUUUCACCUUUCAUUCGGUGAACGUACCGUCACACUAGAGGACAUCUACAUGUUGUUGGGUCUACAUAUCGAUGGUAAAAUUGUUAAUGGUAGAGUUAACCAAGAUAACUCUAUAUGCGAAUAAUUGUUGGGUGCCCCUUUGUGUGAAGACACAACUACAAGAUAAAUUUCGGGUCAACCUAGGGGUCAAUGUAUUAAUUUAAAAUAUCUUAAACAAUAUUAUUCAAGUAUAACAUUAAACGAAGAAUCGACUGAUUAUGAAAAGAUAAUUAAAGCUCGGUGUUAUAUUAUGAUUUUAUUUGGUAAUUUUUUAUUUCCUGGAAGUACUGAUAAUACGGCAAAUAUUAUGUAUUUGUCGUUGUUACGAAACAUAAAUAAAGUAGAAAUAUAUAGUUAGGGUUCCGUUUUUUUAUCCCAUCUAUAUAGUUCAUUGUGUAAAAAUGCAAAAAAGAAUACUUAUACGUUUUAUUCUUGCGUCUUUUUGCUACAAGCACGAGGUUGGUCAAUAAUUCCAUCACUUGCCCCGAUUAACGAGAAGUCAUUCGCAACAAAGUAAAUUUAUCUUAAAUCUUCAAAUUUGUUAAGCUUUAUACUACAACUAAAUAUAACUAAUAUAUUUUCAAUCUUUUCGUUUUAGGUGGUUAGCUCUGGGGAUGAACUACAAUAGGUGUCCCAAACACGCUAUAAUAGUCUAUCACAAUCUUUUAGAUCACCUUGGACCAGACGAUGUAUUACAACUAAACAACUCUAAAUUUGAUUUUAAAAAUUACCAAAUUACAAAUCUUCUAAUCAUGUAUUUUUCUCAUACAGUUUAUAAGGAGUCUGUAUCUGGGCCUUAACCAUCAGGUUAACCCUGAUGAUGCUGCAGUUUGGAUAACGAAAACAUUAAUCAUCAGGUUCACUACUGUGGAGAUGCACUAGAGUGACCAUGUGAAACUGCAGUUCGGCAUGCAACAACAGAUUCCAGAUCCUCCAACGUGUUUGGGAGAUUGACAUCAACAAAAAGUCAAUGUCCAAUAGGGUUAUUCCAAUUGGAGAGAAUUCGUUAAAGAGAUGUGUUGUCAUUGGAAGAAUCGACAUCGAUACAACUUAAAUGAACUGAUCAUAUAAGGUGCUAGACUAACUCAACAUCAUAUGGAUUGGUUUAGGUCAGUUACAAUGACAUUGUUUGUGCCCGAGUCGAGGUAUUUCAUUGAUCCACGCCAACAAGCUUCAUCGUCGUACACCAAAUAACAAACCCCCGCCCAAUAACUAACCCCGCACCAUUAUCAAAUCCAAAAACAAUGUCAACUCACCCAAACCCAACGACCAACCUCACAGCGCCACCAUACCAUAUACACUCUGUCAUACCCCAAUUUUGUCAGGGUAUUUUAAAUUCAUCGGAUACAUGUCCAUUUGUCAAGUUUUGUAUUUUUAGCCAUAUGCAUUUUUAUCAUCAAAUAAAGUCAUCAUAACCAUGCAUAUAUGCAUUAUAGUAAAAAAGUCAACAUAAAGUCAAUAUUUUACAAGUUAAAUAAAUUGACUAAAAUUGCAUUUUUCCAUUAUGCAUUUUAAAAAAUAAAUUCAUGAUCAUUUGAUUUACCAUCAAAAUAUCUAUUUGAAUUUUAUUAAUCAUUUUCAUGCAUCAUAAAACAAAAAUCAAUGUUUCUAGAAGGUCCAAAUCAUCUCUCAUUUAUUACAUCAUUAUUCCAUGUAUAUAUUACAUCAUUAUUCAAUGCAUAUAUUAUAUCAUUAUUCACUAUUUAAUUAAAUAAAUUUGUACAAGGCACUCACACUCUUUGCAUAAUUUCUAAAUUGUCCUUUCUAGAGCCUAUAAAUAAAUCAUAUUUCAUUCACAAAUUAAGCAAAACCUCUCUUCAUUUUUCUAAAGUAAUUUCUUUCUUUCUUUAUUGAAUUUUAUUUUUGGUAAGCUCUUAUGCUUGACAUUUAUUUAAUUCCAUUGCAUUUUUAUUCUUACUUCAUUUAUUUAGUACCUUAAUUAUCACCAUUUUGCAUGGAAACUCCAUUAAUUUAAAAUCAAGAGUUUAAAAUGUUUUUGAACCUCCAUGGACAAAAGUGAUUAAAUAUGAAUUAAUUUUUGUUUAUUUAAUUUUCUUUGUAUUAUUAUUAUUGCUUCACUUAAUUAGUACCUUAAUCAUCACAAUUUUGCAUAGAAACUCCACUGAUUCAAAAUUAAGAGUUUAAAGUGUUCUUGAAUUUUCAUAAACAAAAGUGAUUAACUUUGAUUUAAUUUUCGUUUAUUUAAUUUUCUUUGCAUUAUUAUUCCUGUUGCACUUAAUUAGUACAUUAAUCCCUACUAUUUUGUAUGGAAACUACAUUAAUUCAAAAUCAAGAGUUUAAAGUGUUCUUGAACAUCCAUGAACAAAAAUGAUCAAAUGCAAAUUUAUGUUUGUUUUACAUAAAUAAUAUAUCCAAUAACUUCUCAACAUCAUCCCGAACAUGAAUCCAUAGUUCGUUUGUCAUGAUGAUGGAUAAAAUUGUCAAAUCAAGCAAAUAUAUGCUGCUGGGUUUUUGUUAAUUUUUGAAUUUUUUGUUGUUUAUUUGCUGAUUUUUGAUACACCAUUGUGUUCGUGAAAUCGAGUAGCUAAAUUUACAUUAUUUAUUUGCUUAAAUCCAUGAAAAUAUAAGAAAGUUAUAAUGUUUUUACGUUUUGGUUGUAACAUUUUUUUUCUAUUUUUGUUGUUAUGAGAAUAAUAAUCAAAUGUGGGAUUGGUGAAUGUAACACCCCAAUUAAACUAAGCUAAUUAUUUAAUUUAAAUUAAUAUUUUAUUUAUUAAUUUAAUCGAAUAAUUGGGAGUUUGGAUUAUUAUUAUUAUUUUGAAAUAAUAAUUAUUGGGUUAUUAUAGAGCAUGACAGGAUAAUUUGAUGAUUUUUGUGAAAUGAUUGUGUGACACCCUUCGGGGCAUAAUUACUCUGAUUAAUAUGUUAAUAUUUUUAAUCAAAUAAUUUGGGGUAUUAAGAGGGGUGUUACAGUGAACACAAAACCUCUCCACAUCCCUUGAUUAUUCAACACACUUAUGUGGGGUUUCUCCUUUAAACCUAGAGCAUUUUUCUUACUAUACCCUCAAUUUUUAGUCUCUUUUUGUCUUUUGUGUUUUAUUUAUUUAUUAUUUUCUUAUUAUUGUUUUAUUUAUUUAUUUUUGUUCUUUCUUUUAUUUCCUUUAGUUUUUUUAGUUCUUUUACCUUUUGUAUUGAUAUUAUGAUUUCCCUUUUAUUAUUUCUUUUACUUUUUUUUAUUACUUUAUUUUUUAGUUUAUUUUAUUGUAUUUUUAGUUGAUGCAUAAUUGUUAAUCCAAAAAGACAAAAUGACCAUUAAAAUUAAACUUUCAAAAAUACUAAAAUAAAAGGUGUUUGAUCAACAUCAAGUACAUUUUUCAAAAGCAUACUAAGUCUUUUUCUUUAAUAAGCGCCUCAUAUCAUUUCAAACCAUUUCAUAAAUCAUUUUUACUAACGCGAUAAACACGCAAUCAACAUCAAGUUGCAUGUCCGCUUACUCUAAGCGAUUAAAUACUUUUCUUAAUUAAACUUCGAAUGAAAAAGGGAAUGGGAGACGUUCGCCUCACCACCCCUCGAAUGAUUGAACGAUUGACGCUUGUCAUAUUACUCGAAUUUCCGUCUUCCGAUUAAAACACUCUAAAUAAACUUGGAUAAAGGAAUAAGUGACACACACCUCAUUAUUCCUCGAAUAAGCAAGUGGGAGGUGCUCGCCUCACUACCGCGAAUAGUCGACUUCCACAAACAAUUUUCAAAUACCAAAUUGGACAAAAAAGGAACGGGGACACUCACCCUCACUAUUCCUUGAAUAAGUGAAUAAUUGACGCGCACCAUAUUGCUCAAACUUUCGUCAAUCCCCCUAAAAAACAUACAAACACAUUAACUUAAUUUCUCGCCUCUGUGGGAUCAACACCUUCUUUUUGAAAAGAACAUUGUUAAAUCAUUUCUAAUGCAUAUACAAACUAGCGCUUAAGUCUCCCUCUACGAGCAUGCAAGCCCAUGUUUAACCGUUAGAAUUCGAUCUAAGAACUUAUUCAUUAAAACAAACUUCAAACAAUCAAACCUAUCUUUUUCUCGCCCCCGUCCGAUAAAAAUCCUUUUCACAAAUGGACAUUGUUUAGUCCUUUCUAAUGCGUACACAAACUAGCGCUUAAGUCUCUCAUGCGCGAGCAUACAAUUAAAUAUUUAAACUGCUAGAAUGCGACCAAACGAGAUCCCUUCUACUGCAAAAGAAACAAACACUAAGUCCCCCCAUCCGUGAGCAAACAAGUUAAUGUUUAAACUGUUACAAUGCGACCUAAAUAUUUGUCCUCUAAAAUCAAUCAAUCAACACUCUUUUGCUACCCCGAACUACGAAGCUUUGAGUUCCUCAUUGUACUCGAGGAUACGUAGGAGCAAGACUCACAAUUUUGUCAAACAUUAUAAUAAAAAUAUUUUUGCGACCCCUUUUAUUUUACACUUUCAAUAACUCGAAGAAAAUAAUUAACAUAAGCCAACAUUCAAUCGCGAAUUUAACUAAAAGGUUCACGUUGAGUACAACAGACGUGAGUGGUGCUAAUACCUUCCCCUUGUGUAAUCUACUCCCGAAUUCGAAUUUGUUUGUGACAGUCAUUUUCCUUUUUUUAAGGUUUUAUCAAUAUUUUCCUAUUCCUUCAUUAAAAUAAAUAAAGUUCAGUGGUGACUCUGUUCGAAUCAUUUUUUCUGUGACUUCGCGAAGGAUCAUAUUUUUUGAGAUGCGACACACCCAACCUCCAAACACUCAACUUUGCAACCAAUAGAUGCCACACACCCAAACAAAAUACCAAGAGUAUGACCCAUGACACCAAUAACCACAUGCUCCCACCACAUAUUACUAUAGCCUCAAUGAUUCAUUUGAUUCCAUAAUAUCCCACCAUAGCCCCCCACCAAUGAACACCCAAACAUCCCACCACCAAAGCAUCCAACCACAAUAUGACUUUGUUACACCACAAGAAUCAUUGCUUCGUUUCUAAAACGAUUUAAUGUCAUGAUUCAACCAACCAUAUCGUCCACUCAUAACCCAACCACAACGACCCAACUACGACAACAUAACCACCAAACUAAAUUACGGCAGUACCGUUGACGGUAACCCUCAACUAUUGAGAAGAAAUGAUGACAAAUAUGUCAAAUACUCCAGGACCCUCACAUCAACCACCUUUUCCUCAACCAACAUUCAAAGACCCUAAACACCUCAAAGAAAUCGUGAGAGACCUCGAAGACAGACUAAUGCACCAGGAUGUGGAACCUGAGGAUGUUUCAAUCGGGCGAAUCAUUUUAUGUAUUUGAAUUUUAUAAGGUAAUAUCAUGGAUUAUUUUUAAUUUUCUUCUUUAUUUCAAAUUUUUUAAAUUAUAAUUAAAAAAAGUUAAAAAAUAAAUAAAGGAGUAACCACAUGCAAUGACACAUGCUCCUAAUGGAUGCAUGCAUGCGCCACUUAAAGUGAUAUGUUUUCAAUGCUGUCACCAUCAUCAUCGGUGCCUUAGUGUAUAAGAAUAAUCUAUCUGUCAUUUCUCCUGACUAUUUUUUUUGAAAAAUAGUUAUUUUGAUAAAUAAUUUAAAAAUAUAAUUGUUUUAGUGUUUAAUUUAAAAAUAGUAGUUAUUUUAAAAAAAAUUCAAAAAUUGAUGUAAAUACGUGUGAUUAAAUUUUAUUGACUGAACAUAAAAAAAAUCUAUUUAUUGAAUUUAGCGAAUGAAUAUAAAGUUUAAUUGAAAUACACUGACAGUGUAAAAUGAUUUUACAUCGUCAGUUAAUAAUAGAGGUUGAAUAUUAAAAUAAAUUUAAUUUUUAUUUUAAAAAUCUAUAAAGUAAUACAAACAAGAAAAAUGAUGAUGAUGAAUUGAUAGAGUAAAACUUUAUAACUUAAAGACAAUAGUAAUUACUCUCAUGAAUAUUUCGUCCCAUAUAAAAAACGAUGAUAUUUGUCAUUUUUGUUAUUUUUCCCUCAACUCACAAACCGUUAAAAAAAUAAUAAAAUAAUUGAAAAGAGAAAUAAUCAUGAUAUAUUUAUAAAUUCAUUAGUUAAUUUGUAGCAUUUCUGAAAUUAUUAGAUCGAAGAAGCUCCUUCCGACAAAGAAAGGUUCGCAUCAUAUUCACAAAUUUCUACUCUUUUUCUUUCUUUUCGUUUUUCUCUCAUCCAGAUCUAUAAAUUAUCAUGAAUUUGAGAAAUCAUCGUUAAUAAAAAUCCUGCUAGUGAUUUUUAUAAUUUCAUAGGUUAUUCUCUUGGAACCCUAAAUUCUGGGUUGUAUAUAGGUUAUGGAAUUGAAAUUCCAGAUGAAUUUGAUAAAAUUGUUUAGUUUUUUUUUAUAGUUUUUUUUUAUUUUUUAUAAUUUUUUUUAGAUGCAAUUGAUUUCAUUUGUGUUAUUUUGGAGGAUAUGCUGUGUUGAAACCCUAUUUUAUCGGUUGUUUUAAGUAAUUAUUUUCAAUUUCUAUAUGUAUCUUAUUUUCUUAGGGUUCAUAGAUACAAAAACUAAUUAGUUAACAUGUUAAUCAUGAUUUUACCAUGGUUUUGCAGUUUGUGAAACAUGUUGGUUGUAAUAUUUGAAGCAUUGACACCUUUGAAAAAUGUGUGACCGUGACCGAAAUCGAUAGUGACGGUUGUAAUUACGUUUAAUUUAUUGGUAUUUUCAAAUUAUUACCGGUGUCAACGUGUUAGUGUCGGUGUUGUGUUUUCGGUGUCCAUGCCUCAUAGGUCCUAAUAUUGUAUAAUAGGAACAAAAGUUAAGUAGUUAACGUGCUUAAUGCGCCAAUCGUGAUUUUAUUUUUAUGGUUUUGAAAUUGCUAAAACAUGGUUGUUACUUGUUAUGAUACUGUAUAAUGUUUACCUUGCUUAUUUUUUCAUUAUUGCUUAAUGUAGAUAUCCUCGAUGGUUAAAACCUUAAAAUCCAGGAAAUUAUUGGCUUGUUAAGGUUGUUAGUGAAACACUUUUUCCAUAUUUGUUAAAUACUCCUGCAGGUCUAACUUACUAAUAUUCUUUAUAGAAAAAAGUGUGUGUGUACUAUGUAUCUAUGUGCAUAUGUAUAUGUGUAUGAUUAAUGAGAGAAACACACACUAAAUUUUUGGACUCAAAUGUUGUUGCAGAAAAUGGAAUAUUGCAUGCUUCUGAUUUUCUAUUUCUUUUCAUCUCCUGAUAUGAUAGGUUCUAAUUGGUCAAAAACAUGUCUCAUCGCCAAGGAGGUGAUGCUGAAUAUUUUGCGGAUGAAUAUGAAAUGGAUGAUGUAGAAGAGGAUAUCGAUAUAGAUGGUGAAUCUAUUAAUAGAGAGGGAGGUGACGUUGACUCCGACGUUGAUGAAUAUGAUUACUCGGUUCGUAAUAUGCCGUUUCCUAAAUUUUUACAUUUUUUACUGUUAUGGAUAUGUUGUACACGAUGAUGUUUUAUUGUACAAUAACCCAUUUUCCAUUUAUGGGGGCGUCGACUUACUCUCCUAGUUAAAUAAAUAAUUCAUCAAGCAAAUGUAAAUUAUUGUAUCUUUCUACGAGUAACAUUAUUGUUAUGAUGGCAGAGUAGUAAAGCGGUAGACACUACAGCUGCUCAAGCUAGAAGAGGACAAGACAUCCAGGGGAUUCCGUGGGAUAGCCUUAGCAUCACCAGAGAAAGGUAUCGGCAAACGAGGCUUGAGCAAUACAAGAAUUAUGAAAAUAUCCCCCAAUCAGGGGAAAGGUCAGGGAAGGUAACAAUUUGAUGCAUUUUCUCUUUGAUAUUUCAGAGAAAAAACUUCAUAUAUGUCACCGGCCAUAACUAUGGCCAAUAUAAACCAUAGUCACAGAAUUCGCCACAGUACACAGAACUGCGGAUUGGUCCUCGAGUACCUGUUCCCGGUAUUUCUUUUUUGCGAUUUGGUUCACGCAAUUUCAUGAGAAAUUUGCAGGAAUCCGUGUACCAGAGAGGCAAAACCAUCUCUGGUUUAAUUGAGCAUUAUAAUACUAAGUAAAAUAAAAACCGGCUAAAGAAACCGUUGUUUAAAUACUGCACUGGCAAUGGGAAAUACUCAUCGCAUUAAAAAAGGGAGAUAUCACUGGCCUUCACAUGCGCCGCACCUUGCUGUACACUGGAGCGUUGGUCUAUACACUGUUUAUAUUUAGUUUACCUCUAUGUUUUCCAAGCUUCCGAUGUGGGACUAUAGUGCUAUCUCCUAAUGUCGGACUACUCCUAUAGCCCUAUCUCUCUAUGUUUGACAAGCCACAUACUUGGGUGCAUAUCCUCUAUUGGUGACUAUUGGACUAUCCUUUUUAAGGUGACUUUUGUUGGAAUCUGAUUUUUUAAACAAAUGUUAAUUACUCUUCUUGAUAAUAGAUGCUUAGAUCAUAGAUACUCAAAUAAUUAUUUUGACAAUAGGGAAUUAGUUCCUAAAAUGAAAUUGCAUUUUUUUUAAUACUAAAAAAUGCUACCGGUCUAUUAUAUUAUAAAUCACACAACUAUAUAACAUCUUAGUGCUCAGUUUUUUAACAAUAUAAAUUGUUUUUUGACGAUUUUAAUGAUAUUAAUUUAAUUUGAAUUACAAAAGAUGUAAUCUACAUAAAUGGUAAACUAAAAAUAUUUCUAAAACUUCCAUUUUCUUGAAAAUGCGAACUAUCAAUUUUUCAUUACUAUUAAAAUGUAUUUAUGGAUAGUUUGAGAUUCUUUUGUUUUUAUCAUUUUUCGUGUUGUUUUUAAAUUAGAUAUUUUUAAUUCACAGUGUACCGAUUAGUAUAUUAAAACAUAUUACAAACCGAAAUAGUGCACUGACUAUGUAUACCAUGUACCUAAUACUUUGAGGGUUGUGUACCACAUACCCAAAACCGUAACACGUACUGCAGAAAAUUGUGAACCAGGCGACUAUGAUAUAAAUAACACCAUGCUUACCUGUUCAUUAUUGUCUAUUACAAACAGGAUUGUAACAGUACAGACAAAGGAUACUCAUUUUAUGAGUUCAGGAGAAAUUCAAGAUCAGUAAAAUCAACAAUUCUUCAUUUUCAGGUAAGCUGUAGCCUGUAUCUACUCUGGUUUUUAUAAUGGAUUAAGGAUGCUCUAGGACAUUUUACUGCACAAUGGCUCUGUUUAACUGUUUUUUAUAAAUUAAAAGUUAGAUCAGCUUAUUACAAUAUGAAAUAUAUUAAACCAAUGGUCCAAACUUUAAGUCAAGUCUGAAAAGUGUUGGUACUUCAAUGCACCGUGUAUUGAAAUUGAUAGCAAGAGUAAAGGGAGAAGGAAGAGACUCUACAUCACUCUAUACCGAACGGCCACAUGAUAAAAUGCUCAUAAUCAUUGAAUAGGUUCAAAAAAUUAAAAAUAUGCAGGUAUCCAAUACCUGCAAUAUUUAUCUGGUGGCCAGUUUAAAAUACUCAGUUGCUGGUUUGAAUCAGUAUGUGGUAAGCAACUAAAUUUGGUAGAGAGAGCUCUGAGGUUUUCACAGCUGGAACAUGUGAUUUAUUAUAUAUUAUGUCAAAUUUUGUAGUCUGUUCAUAGGAUGCGAAGCUUGAGCAGUACCUUGGAUGCAAUAGGCUUCGAAGAGAUGUGAUCUCAUGUGGUUUGACUGAUAUUCCCUCCUUUUUUUUAUACUUAUGCAGUUGAGGAAUUUGGUUUGGGCUACAUCAAAGCAUGAUGUAUACCUUAUGUCUCAGUUCUCAGUAACACAUUGGUCUUCUUUGACUUGCACAAGGUCUGAAGUACUCAAUGUUUCAGGACAUGUUGCACCAUCAGAGGUGAAUAGUCCUUUAAAUAAUGUUUUUAAUUGGAUAGCCCUCUAAACCAUGUUGCACCGUCAUGUAGCACAAGGUCUAAAGAAUGGUUUGACUUCUGAUUGUUCAUUGCAUUAAUUUUGAGAAAAUAAUUGUCAAUCAUGUUUGUAAUCUUCCAUGUUAUCAUUUUUCCUUGUCAGAAACAUCCUGGAAGUCUAUUGGAAGGAUUCACACACACUCAAGUUAGUACACUUGCAGUAAAAGAUAAUCUUCUAGUUGCUGGAGGAUUUCAGGGUGAACUUAUUUGCAAGGUAAAUGUUAAUUUGCUUGUUAUUGAGGAAUACGAUUUUUUUAAAUCUGUUGCGAAUAGAGCAGUAAGUAUAAUUUGUAAUCCUGGACAUCCACAUUCUGAUCAUUCCGUGAAACGUUUAAACAAAAUUUAAAGAAUGCAAUGCACUGCUUUCGUAAGUUCAUACGCAACAUGCACAAGCAGACAUGUGAUUUAUAUGUGGUGAUGAAUAACUUUUUUAGGUAACAUUGUAAAGACUUAAAUAUAUUUUUUGUCUAUGUAAAAGAGACUGUUUUGGAAAGAUCUGCCCAAUUUUCUCAUUUUGUGGCUUCCUAAAUAUCUCAGUAAUUUAGUGUUUUUCAAAUUUUACAGACCAUGUGGAACCUAAGAACAAUUAAUGAGCAUUGUUUUAAUAAUUGGUGGAGUACUAGAGUGUUGCAACUCCUCUCUCCUUCAUUUUCCAGCCCUUUUUUAAAUUUCUUUUCAAGGAAUACUUGAAUUAUCAUUUUCAUUCAUGUUAAUCCUAAUUGGGCAUUUGCAUAUGCAUUCAGUUUGGUUUGCAUUGCUAUUAGAUUCUGCAUGUUUUUUAGUUAUAUUUGCAGAUGCUGUAGACGUGUCCCUCGGAAUUUGUUUUUGUUAUUAGAACCAUCAGCUGAUAUACUUUCAUCACUUUCUUUGUUACUGAAAUGCAGCACCUAGACCGACCUGGUGUCAGCUUUUGCUCAAGGACUACUUAUGAUGAUAACGCUAUCACCAAUGCCAUUGAGAUUUAUGCUUCUCCUAGGUAUUUAGUUUUCUUUCUAAUUGUUUUGUUAUUUUAAGAAUGGUUAUAGGUACCUGUGUUUUAAUACCAUUGGUUCCUGCUUUUUAGUGGGGCAGUUCAUUUCACAGCAUCAAAUAAUGAUUGUGGAAUCAGAAACUUUGAUAUGGAGAAGUUUCAACUCUCUAAGCAUUUUCGUUUUCCCUGGCCAGUGAAUGUGAGUCUCUUAGAUUAUGUUCUAAUCUUUUAGUUUCCUACCUCUCUUAAGAUGAUAAGUGAAUACUUUAAUUUUGUUCUUCAGAAGUUUUAUUGCCAUUUCUUUUUGCAUUAAUGAGCAAUUUUUGCAUUAUGACACAUUUGCUCUAUGGAUGAGUCGAUUGAUUUCCCACCCUAAUUUGACUUAUAAAGUUUAUUCUCGAAGUUCAACAAUUAGAAGAAAUAAUGAACAAAUUCGAGUGUCAAUAUGGGCCUUCAGCGACUAGCUAGAAUUGUUGAUAUCUUUCUGUUCUUGUGACAUUCCUUUGCUUUCUAUUUAUGUUCUCAUCUUUGUCCGUUUUUUCCCAUGCUGCAGCAUACUUCUCUCAGUCCAGAUGGUAAGCUACUUCUGAUUGUUGGAGACAAUCCUGAAAGCAUGUUGGUGGACUCUCAAAAUGGAAAGGUAGUACACUACGCCCGUUUCGGUCAAACAACCAAACACUUCUUCAGUUAGUUGCAUCCAAAGAGUACUAGUACAUGAUUGCAAAUCUUGCUAAUCCGAAUUUCCUUAUUUUGCAGACUAUUGCUCCAUUAUCUGGGCACUUAGAUUUUUCAUUUGCAUCAUCAUGGAAUCCUGAUGGCGUGACCUUUGCUACUGGAAACCAGGACAAAACCUGUAGGAUUUGGGACAUGCGAAACUUAUCCAAGUCAGUGGCAGUGUUGAAGGGAAAUCUCGGAGCUAUCCGUUCAAUCCGACAUUCUUCUGACGGCAAGUAUAUGGCUAUAGCCGAGCCUGCAGAUUUUGUCCAUGUAUAUGAUGUGAAAAGUGGGUAUGAGAAAGAACAGGAAAUCGAUUUCUUCGGUGAGAUAUCCGGCAUAUCUUUCAGUCCAGACACCGAAUCCCUUUUCAUCGGGGUUUGGGAUCGUACAUAUGGCAGCCUUCUUGAAUAUGGCCGACGUCAUAAUUACUCAUACGCUGACCUAAUGAUUUAGUCGAAUAUAUUCAAGACGAGGGAUAAAGUAACAUAAUAGACAGUGCACUUGAUCGAACAGCUUGCUUUAUGUAUCCUUUUGGGGUAGGUUGUUAAUGUAUAAAUUGAGUGUCCUGCAAGUUACCUCAAAUUUGUAGUUAUAGUAGGGCGUGUUUGUGUUUAUAAUGGUGUGUGUGUGUGGAAAGUGAGGUAGUAGGAGGCUAGAAGAAGAUGAUGGUGCAAACAGAUCUUGCUGAGUAUCAUCAUCAUCACUAUGUAAUGCAGUAGUUUUCUGUCUUGGAAAAACUCACUAUGGCAAUAACAUAUAUAUAUAUAUAUAUAUCUUGAUAUUUCUUGGUCCUAUUUGUCCAUUGAUUGUCUAGUUAGUGUUUGAGUGGAGCAUAGGUAGUAUGCAUCAUUCAAAGGAAAACUAAGUAGUUUGUUGUAUGAAGAUUUUAUGUUACAUUAGCCUUUUGUAUUUUGUUUAUCUUUGUCAAGUUUUUAUGUCCAUGUUGAUGUAUUACAAAACUUGAUGGAAUAUAUAAAUACUAAAAGAAUAGUAUUGAGAAACUAGGACUUACCUGGUUAACUUUUCCAUAAACAACUAUAAGCUUAUUAAACUUAUUUUCUAUCAAAAAGAAAAAUGUAAACUUAUUUCAAUUUUAAAAAUUAUCAUAACUUAAAAACUAAUUUAAAUUUAGUGAGCCAUGUACAAUCAAAUUAAGUUCAAGUUGCUGUAAUUUUAAGAUACUCAAUUUAAUAUUUAAUAAUAAAAAAAUAAAAAGAAGUUUUUUAUAAAUAAAAUAAUGGGUGAGUCCUAGUUUAAGUCACAAGUAUUUUUUACUUGUAAAUAAUAUAAACAGAUUUUUGCAUAAAGACAUUCUGUGUAGAUAUCAACAAUUAAAGACCACAGAGAAAAAUAAAAAAGAAAUCUAGAAUCCAAAACAAACCAAUAAAACCAAGCCAAGUCACUAGCUAAAAUCUUUAGUCCAUGGUCCAAAAUCACAAUCACAAAGCACCUUAUCUUUCUCUACCACCACAUCUUUUCAUACUAUAUCAUAUAAUUCCAUAACCAACCUUCUCUUCCAUUCCAUUCCAUUCACUCAUCAAACCAAAAACAAUGGCAGCAUCAGCAUCAUCCAUGAUCUCAACAAACGCCCUAACAUCCACACUCCAAAAACACCAAACACACAACCUCAAACCAUCAAACCUAUGUUUCCAAGGCUUCAAACCCUUAACAAGAUCAACAAAACUGACACAGAACAAAAAGAGAUUCUCAUCCCUUGUUGUCAAAGCUGAACUCAACCCUUCACUUGUGAUAAGCUUAAGCACUGGUCUGUCAUUGUUUUUAGGAAGGUUUGUGUUCUUCAACUUCCAAAGAGAGAAUGUUGCAAAACAAGGUUUACCUGAACAGAAUGGUGUGACACACUUUGAAGCUGGUGACUCACGUGCUAAGGAAUAUGUUAGCUUGCUUAAGUCAAAUGAUCCUGUCGGGUUUAACCUUGUUGAUGUUUUGGCUUGGGGUUCUAUAGGUCAUAUUGUUGCUUAUUAUAUCUUGGCCACUUCUAGCAAUGGUUAUGAUCCUAGUUUCUUUGGUUAAUUAAGAUUACUAUGUUGUUCGUUUAUGUUGUUUUAAUUUGUCUUUUCUUGUCCCUUUUAUGUUUAUUAAGAUGAUGAUGAUGAUGAUGAUGUAUAGUUUAUUUGUAUGAGAUAUUCAACAAGUUAAGUUC